Molecule: non-coding RNA, 24 nt
Filed under: Mus musculus (house mouse)
Lineage: Eukaryota; Metazoa; Chordata; Mammalia; Rodentia; Muridae
Source: RNAcentral
UAGCUAGUAAAUUGCUGCUGGAGA